Molecule: unclassified non-coding RNA, 212 nt
Filed under: fungal sp.
Lineage: Eukaryota; Fungi
Also listed under: 1 other name
Description: partial internal transcribed spacer region
Rfam family: Eukaryotic small subunit ribosomal RNA (bases 1-46)
Source: RNAcentral
AAGUCGUAACAAGGUCUCCGUUGGUGAACCAGCGGAGGGAUCAUUACUGAGUGUUACAACUCCCAAACCCUUUGUGAACCUACCCUGUUUCCUCGGCGGCUCCGACGCGGGCCGCCGGGGGCACCAAACUCUGGCUUCUUUCAGUGGUAUUCUCUCUGAGUGGCACAAGCAAAAAAUAAUCAAAACUUUCAACAACGGAUCUCUUGGUUCUG